GCCGGGCAUGGUGGCGCAUGCCUGUAAUCCCAGCUACUUGGUAGGCUGAGGCAGGAGAAUCACUUGAACCCAGGAGGCAGAGGUUGCAGUGAGCCGAGAUCACGCCACACUGCACUCCAGCCUGGGUGACAGAGUGAGACUCCGUCUCAA
Molecule: unclassified non-coding RNA, 150 nt
Organism: Pongo abelii (Sumatran orangutan)
Lineage: Eukaryota; Metazoa; Chordata; Mammalia; Primates; Hominidae
Rfam family: Metazoan signal recognition particle RNA
About the family: The signal recognition particle (SRP) is a universally conserved ribonucleoprotein. It is involved in the co-translational targeting of proteins to membranes.
Source: Ensembl